CCUUUGGAGCUUGCUCCAUUGGUUUAGCGGCGGACGGGUGAGUAACACGUGGGCAACCUGCCCUGCAGAUCGGGAUAACUCCGGGAAACCGGUGCUAAUACCGAAUAGUUUUUUGCCCCUCCUGGGGCGAAACGGAAAGACGGUUUCGGCUGUCACUGCAGGAUGGGCCCGCGGCGCAUUAGCUAGUUGGUGGGGUAAUGGCCCACCAAGGCGACGAUGCGUAGCCGACCUGAGAGGGUGAUCGGCCACACUGGGACUGAGACACGGCCCAGACUCCUACGGGAGGCAGCAGUAGGGAAUCUUCCGCAAUGGACGCAAGUCUGACGGAGCAACGCCGCGUGAGUGACGAAGGUUUUCGGAUCGUAAAACUCUGUUGUGAGGGAAGAACAAGUACCAACUAACUACUGGUACCUUGACGGUACCUCACCAGAAAGCCACGGCUAACUACGUGCCAGCAGCCGCGGUAAUACGUAGGUGGCAAGCGUUGUCCGGAAUUAUUGGGCGUAAAGCGCGCGCAGGCGGUCCCUUAAGUCUGAUGUGAAAGCCCACGGCUCAACCGUGGAGGGUCAUUGGAAACUGGGGGACUUGAGUGCAGAAGAGGAAAGUGGAAUUCCACGUGUAGCGGUGAAAUGCGUAGAGAUGUGGAGGAACACCAGUGGCGAAGGCGACUUUCUGGUCUGUAACUGACGCUGAGGCGCGA
This 700-nucleotide ribosomal RNA is filed under the name Planomicrobium okeanokoites. Its description in RNAcentral is "bacterial SSU rRNA". It matches the Rfam family "Bacterial small subunit ribosomal RNA", at positions 70 to 756 of the family's 1533-position model. Lineage: Bacteria; Bacillati; Bacillota; Bacilli; Caryophanales; Caryophanaceae. The record is from RNAcentral.